Non-coding RNA from Salmo salar (Atlantic salmon), 54 nucleotides. NCBI's taxonomy places the organism in Eukaryota, Metazoa, Chordata, Actinopteri, Salmoniformes, Salmonidae. The record is from Rfam.
UGUCUAUAUUCCUGUAAGCCACUUUGGAUAAAAGUGUCUGCUAAAUGGCAUACG